CUGUUUAGACUACACCGUGCUGUUUGCUGGAACGUGAAACCCUUUUAUAACAACUACGUCUGAGUCAGCGAUCUCAUUUGGUGAUUUGCAUAUUUGGUCUCUGAGGAAAUCAAGGUUAAAUAUAGAGAGAAGAUCCUGCUGGCUUGAACUGAAUAAAGCCUUGUUCCUGAUGGUUUGUCUGGAUGGGCCUGGUCUGAGUUGCACACACACUGACACAUAACUCAGAGCACACAAAGGAGCCUCAGGCCAAGUUUCCCAAAGUUGUGUAAAAAGUCACAAGGCAGGCUUCCUCUAUCUUUAACAACCUCAUACUGGGCCAGUGAACAGGAGAAGGGGUUACAUUUUUUUAGUUAUUUGUGCCAUGACUCAGAUAGGGAAGUUUAAUUUUUUGCACACAGUAGGGAAGCUGCCACACAAGAGA
Mauremys reevesii (Reeves's turtle) is the source of this 421-nucleotide long non-coding RNA. RefSeq lists it as uncharacterized. NCBI's taxonomy places the organism in Eukaryota, Metazoa, Chordata, Testudines, Geoemydidae. The record is from RefSeq and is a predicted model, not a curated record. The transcript is spliced from 3 exons.